RNAcentral lists this unclassified non-coding RNA (468 nucleotides) under Hevea brasiliensis (rubber tree). The record is from RNAcentral. Lineage: Eukaryota; Viridiplantae; Streptophyta; Magnoliopsida; Malpighiales; Euphorbiaceae.
GGAACAUUUUAAGGCUAGUGGAAGAAACUGCAUACAGUCAUUUAAUGGAGGCCAUCCUGGAAUUUGCUCCUGAAACAUUGUACGAUGAGUUGUUAACGAAAGUUUUCAGGAAGUCAUUGUUUCGCAUGUCAUCUCAUCACUGUGCAAACUUUGUUGUGCAGGCUUUAGCAUCUCAUGCCAAAAGUCAGGAUCAUAUGGACUUGAUCUGGGAGGAGCUUGGUACAAAGUUUCGCGAUCUUUUUGAAAUGGGAAAGUCUGGAGUUGUUGUUUCUGUCCUUGCUGCAACUCAAAGACUCCACAGCCAUGAACAUGAGUGUUGUCAGGCCAUUGCUGCUUCUGUAUGCACAGGGGAUGAGUUUCCCAAGGGAACUAAUACAGGUGUACAUUACUAGUAUCACAUCUUUAGAAGAACAUCAUGUUCUCGAGGCAUCGAAAGAUCCUAGUGGUUCACGGUUCAUUGAAUCUUUU